GCCGGCGUAGCUCAAUUGGCAGAGCAGGCGCUUUGUAAGCGCCAGGUUGCGGGUUCGAGUCCCAUCGCCGGCU
RNAcentral lists this transfer RNA (73 nucleotides) under Actinomycetes bacterium. RNAcentral describes it as "Actinobacteria bacterium tRNA-Thr". It matches the Rfam family "tRNA". Rfam says of the family: Transfer RNA (tRNA) molecules are approximately 80 nucleotides in length. Lineage: Bacteria; Bacillati; Actinomycetota; Actinomycetes. The record is from RNAcentral.